UCCGGUUUAACACCGGCAGUCUUCUCAGAGUGCUCAACUUAAUGGUGGCAACUAAGAACAAGGGUUGCGCUCGUUGCGGGACUUAACCCAACAUCUUACGACACGAGCUGACGACAGCCAUGCAGCACCUAUCUCCCUGUCCCCGAAGGGAACCCUACAUCUCUGUAGGUGUCAGGGGAUGUUAAGCCCAGGUAAGGUUCUGCGCGUUGCUUCGAAUUAAACCACAUACUCCACCGCUUGUGCGGGCCCCCGUCAAUUCCUUUGAGUUUUAGUCUUGCGACCGUACUCCCCAGGCGGGAUACUUAAUGCGUGAGCUUCGGUACCCAGAGGGUUAACACUCCGGACACCUAGUAUCCAUAGUUUACGGCGUGGACUAC
This 377-nucleotide unclassified non-coding RNA is filed under the name uncultured Oligoflexaceae bacterium. Its description in RNAcentral is "contains 16S-23S intergenic spacer region". The record is from RNAcentral. Lineage: Bacteria; Pseudomonadati; Bdellovibrionota; Oligoflexia; Oligoflexales; Oligoflexaceae.